This 397-nucleotide ribosomal RNA is filed under the name uncultured bacterium. RNAcentral describes it as "bacterial SSU rRNA". It matches the Rfam family "Bacterial small subunit ribosomal RNA", at positions 28 to 429 of the family's 1533-position model. The record is from RNAcentral.
GACGAACGCUGGCGGCGUGCUUAACACAUGCAAGUCGAGCGGUAAGGCCCUUUCGGGGGUACGACGAGCGGCGAACGGGUGAGUAACACGUGGGUGACCUGCCCUCAGCUCUGGGAUAAGCCUGGGAAACCGGGUCUAAUACCGGAUAUGACUCCAUGACGCAUGUUGUGGGGUGGAAAGCCUUGUGCGGCUGAGGAUGGGCCCGCGGCCUAUCAGCUUGUUGGUGGGGUGAGGCCUACCAAGGCGACGACGGGUAGCCGGCCUGAGAGGGCGACCGGCCACACUGGGACUGAGACACGGCCCAGACUCCUACGGGAGGCAGCAGUGGGGAAGUCUUGCGCAAUGGGCGAAAGCCUGACGCAGCGACGCCGCGUGAGGGAUGACGGCCUGGUGUAAC